CGGCUGCUUAACAUGCAAGUCGAACGGCAGCACGGGAGCAAUCCUGGUGGCGAGUGGCGAACGGGUGAGUAAUACAUCGGAACGUGCCCAAUCGUGGGGGAUAACGCAGCGAAAGCUGUGCUAAUACCGCAUAAGAUCUACGGAUGAAAGCAGGGGACCGCAAGGCCUUGCGCGAAUGGAGCGGCCGAUGGCAGAUUAGGUAGUUGGUGAGGUAAAGGCUCACCAAGCCUUCCAUCUGUAGCUGGUCUGAAAGGACCACCAGCCACACUGGGACUGAGACACCGCCCAUACUCCUACGGGAGGCAGCAGUGGGGAAUUUUGGACAAUGGGCCAAAGCCUGAUCCAGCCAUGCCGCGUGCACGACGACGGCCUUCGGGUUGUAAACUGCUUUUGAACGCAACUUAUUUGCUUUUUCUACUAAAGAGGGC
RNAcentral lists this ribosomal RNA (428 nucleotides) under uncultured bacterium. RNAcentral describes it as "bacterial SSU rRNA". It matches the Rfam family "Bacterial small subunit ribosomal RNA", at positions 40 to 476 of the family's 1533-position model. The record is from RNAcentral.